Molecule: small RNA, 1868 nt
Filed under: Pan troglodytes (chimpanzee)
Lineage: Eukaryota; Metazoa; Chordata; Mammalia; Primates; Hominidae
Description: processed transcript
Source: RNAcentral
ACGCGCCUUGCUGCUGCCUCCUAGCUGGGAGCCUCUGCCGGAGCCGCUGCCUCCGUCACACCGUCGGGAGGCUUUGCAGUGAACUUCGACCACUUCCAGAUCCUUCGGGCCAUUGGGAAGGGCAGCUUUGGCAAGGUGUGCAUUGUGCAGAAGCGGGACACGGAGAAGAUGUACGCCAUGAAGUACAUGAACAAGCAGCAGUGCAUCGAGCGCGACGAGGUCCGCAACGUCUUCCGGGAGCUGGAGAUCCUGCAGGAGAUCGAGCACGUCUUCCUGGUGAACCUCUGGUACUCCUUCCAGGACGAGGAGGACAUGUUUAUGGUCGUGGACCUGCUUCUGGGCGGGGACCUGCGCUACCACCUGCAGCAGAACGUGCAGUUCUCCGAGGAUACGGUGAGGCUGUACAUCUGCGAGAUGGCGCUGGCUCUCGACUACCUGCGCGGCCAGCACAUCAUCCACAGAGAUGUCAAGCCUGACAACAUUCUCCUGGAUGAGAGAGGACAUGCACACCUGACCGACUUCAACAUUGCCACCAUCAUCAAGGACGGGGAGCGGGCGACGGCAUUAGCAGGCACCAAGCCGUACAUGGCUCCGGAGAUCUUCCACUCUUUUGUCAACGGCGGGACCGGCUACUCCUUCGAGGUGGACUGGUGGUCGGUGGGGGUGAUGGCCUAUGAGCUGCUGCGAGGAUGGAGGCCCUAUGACAUCCACUCCAGCAACGCCGUGGAGUCCCUGGUGCAGCUGUUCAGCACCGUGAGCGUCCAGUAUGUCCCCACGUGGUCCAAGGAGAUGGUGGCCUUGCUGCGGAAGCUCCUCACUGUGAACCCCGAGCACCGGCUCUCCAGCCUCCAGGACGUGCAGGCAGCCCCGGCGCUGGCCGGCGUGCUGUGGGACCACCUGAGCGAGAAGAGGGUGGAGCCGGGCUUCGUGCCCAACAAAGGCCGUCUGCACUGCGACCCCACCUUUGAGCUGGAGGAGAUGAUUCUGGAGUCCAGGCCCCUGCACAAGAAGAAGAAGCGCCUGGCCAAGAACAAGUCCCGGGACAACAGCAGGGACAGCUCCCAGUCCGCCCCACGGAGCAAGUCCAAGCCAUCCACCCAGAGGCAAGGGAGCUGGGCCUUGGCAUCCUCGGGCUUGGGAGAAUGACUAUCUUCAAGACUGCCUCGAUGCCAUCCAGCAAGACUUCGUGAUUUUUAACAGAGAAAAGCUGAAGAGGAGCCAGGACUUCCCGAGCGAGCCUCUCCCCGCCCCUGAGUCCAGGGAUGCUGCGGAGCCUGUGGAGGACGAGGCGGAACGCUCCGCCCUGCCCAUGUGCGGCCCCAUUUGCCCCUCGGCCGGGAGCGGCUAGGCCGGGACGCCCGUGGUCCUCACCCCUUGAGCUGCUUUGGAGACUCGGCUGCCAGAGGGAGGGCCAUGGGCCGAGGCCUGGCAUUCACGUUCCCACCCAGCCUAGCUGGCGGUGCCCACAGUGCCCCGGACACAUUUCACAUCUCAGGCUCGUGGUGGUGCAGGGGACAAGAGGCUGUGGGUGCAGGGGACACCUGUGGAGGGCAUUUCCCGUGGGCCCCCGAGACCCGCCUAGAUGGAGCAAGCGCUGCUGGGCGCCCUCUUACCGCUCACGGGGAGCUGGGGCCAUGGAUGGGACAGGAGUCUUUGUCCCUGCUCAGCCCGGAGGCUGUGCACGGCCCUCCUCACAAGGUGACCCUUGCAGCGCAGGCCGCGGGUGCCCCAGGCUCGGCUCAGUUCUUGGAGGUCAAGGGCAUGGGUUGGGGUAGUGGGUGGGGAGGUGAAUGUUUUCUAGAGAUUCAAACUGCUCCAGCAAUUUCUGUAUAGUUUUCACCUCUGAGAAUUACAAUGUGAGAACCGCU